CCCCUUACGUAAGCAGUCCGGCUGUUGAUAUAACCGGCGGUUGCUAUGGGAACAGGGCCGGUUUGUUUGGCUGGGCCUGGGAAGAGUCAACAUGGGGGACUCUCGGGAGCAGAGAUUUCAGACUUGAGUAUGGAGAUGUAUGAGAUCCUCAGAAAAGUGGGAGAGGGAAGUUAUGGAACCGUAAUGAAAUGUAAACACAAGGAAACAGGACAUAUAGUUGCCAUUAAGAUAUUUUAUGAGAAGCCAGAAAAAUCUGUCAACAAAAUCGCAAUGAGAGAGAUAAAGUUCCUAAAGCAAUUUCGUCAUGAGAACUUGGUAAAUCUGAUUGAAGUCUUCAGACAGAAAAAGAAAAUUCACUUGGUGUUUGAAUUUAUUGACCAUACAAUUUUAGAUGAGCUACAGCAUUUCUCUCAUGGACUGGAUAACAGAAGACUUAAGCGGUACUUGUAUCAGAUUCUUAGAGCAGUUGACUAUCUCCAUAGAAACAAUGUUAUUCACCGAGACAUCAAACCUGAGAAUAUUUUAGUUUCUCAGAAUGGAAUUACUAAACUUUGUGAUUUUGGAUUUGCACGGACCUUAGCAGCCCCUGGUGACAUUUAUACUGAUUAUGUGGCCACAAGGUGGUACCGUGCUCCAGAGCUGGUAUUAAAAGACACUACAUAUGGGAAACCUGUCGACAUCUGGGCUUUAGGUUGUAUGAUCAUUGAGAUGGCCACUGGCAGCCCCUACCUACCCAGCAGUUCUGAUCUUGACUUACUUCAUAAAAUUGUGACCAAAGUAGGCAAUUUGACGCCUCACCUUCAGAGCAUUUUUAUCAGAAGCCCGUUUUUUUCAGGAAUGGUCCUUCCUGAAGUUCAGCACCCUAAAAGUGCAAGGAAAAAGUAUCCCAAGCUCAGUGCACUACUUGCAGAUAUGGUUCAUGCUUGUUUACAAAUGGAUCCUGCAGAUAGGAUAUCAUCUGCUGAUUUACUACAGCAUGAAUAUUUCACCAGAGAUGGCUUUGUUGAAAAGUUCUUACCAGAACUAAAAAGCAAAUUACUACAAGAAACAAAGCUGAGUUUUCUUUCAAAAUUCAGAGACAAUAAUAAAGACACUGAGCAAAUCAAGGAUGAAAAGAGAACAAUUAAUACUAAUGUACCUCAAAAUGGCCCAAUAGUGGUGAAGGAAACAGACAAAGAGAAAAAGACAAAGGAGAUAAAGGUAAAAGGCAUUAAAAUGAAAGUGGGGAAAUCUGAAAUCUCAGAGGUUAAAAGAAAUGAAGAAGAUGUAGUUUCACAGUGGGCUGCUCUGUCUCAGAACUCUCUAAACCCUCCUCAUGAGAACAAAUCCACAGGCAGUGAUGGCACUACCCUGGCAGUAGCUGGCUCUGAUGCUGGUGGGAUAAAGGAAGAUUCUCCGCAAACACCUUCUAUGACAAUGCCACGCAUCCACCCAAACUGUGGAAAUAUUACAGUAAAUUUCAGUCCACACUUCCUGUGUCCUAAUUCAAGACUACCUGAAAAAGGAAAGAAAAGGCGAAGUCCUUGGCCAGCAGUGGGACAUGUGGGUCCAAAUAACCAUCAAGAAGAAGGAACUAUAACUCAAAACCAAAUAGAGAAAGUCUCCCUAUAUGAAAGAGCUGCUCAGAUUGAUCAAAUGGUCAACAUAAACAGGAAAAAACGGAAUAUUUCAAGAUGUGAGAAGAGAGACAUUCAUUUCCCAGAGUUAGCAACAACAGGGCAACAGAAAGAACUGAAAGGAAUGGAAAUUAAACAGGUGAGAGUGCUGAAGAGGGAGUCAAAAAAAUGUGAAGUGUCUAAAAUACCAUCUUUACUGAAUGUGGAUCAGAAUCGUGAUAAACAAGAGAACACAGAGAAUACAGGAAAUUUACAGAAUGAAUGAAAACAAGCCAAGUUUGCCUGUAUAACAGCAUGCCUCUUGGGAAGAUGUUAGAAUGCCUGGAGAAUUCAAAGAAGCUCACUGAUAUUUGUUAAUCCAACACAAAGUGAAGGCAGUCCCCCCCCUUUUGAUUUUCUA
Pogona vitticeps (central bearded dragon) is the source of this 2016-nucleotide RNA transcript. It is a transcript of the gene named cyclin dependent kinase like 3, with no coding region annotated. Lineage: Eukaryota; Metazoa; Chordata; Lepidosauria; Squamata; Agamidae. The record is from RefSeq and is a predicted model, not a curated record.